GGACCUCUUCAGCCAUACCCAUCAUUUUCUGUUUAAUGUGUUUGUACAGUAUACCCACCGAUCCUCUUCAUUCAAGCUGGAGUUCACUUCUGAAUUGGAAUAACCUGAGCAAGUACAGUGUUGAAUGGGAGUGGGUCUUUGAGCACAUCUGGAUCAAGAUGGGGAUGAUAGAAGAAACCAAUUUAAAAAAAUUGCACAGCAUCACUUCCUGGUACCUUCACAUAAUCAACCAUUUAGCACUGGAAAAGGUAUCGCACUGAUUCAGAAUGGGUGUUACCAUGAUCAGAACAGUCCUGUAGCUGAAGUCAGCAUUCUUGCCUCUCCAUCAGCUCAGUGAGAGACGGGUCUCAUUCAUGCCAUAGGAGUUGACAGCUGUUUUUCUUCAGCAGUUGAAUUCACGUAUACAACCCCUUAUUGGGCCAAUACAGUAGUACCUUUAAUGUUUCUCACUGUGGUCUUGUCUCUCGUCAUUUGUUUGAUUGUAGCCUAUUAUCCUUUUUCCAUUAGCCAAGCUUUCACAUGUUUUUAUAUUAAAGGAAAAAUAAUGUAACCAGCACUAGUAACUUCAAAUGAAGUUCCAAAAAGGAAAACUCCAGUAAAACUAUUAGGAUGAAAUGUAUUCAAUUUGAAAUUUGUU
This 637-nucleotide long non-coding RNA is filed under the name Lepisosteus oculatus (spotted gar). Its description in RNAcentral is "lncRNA (ENSLOCG00000023079.1)". Lineage: Eukaryota; Metazoa; Chordata; Actinopteri; Semionotiformes; Lepisosteidae. The record is from RNAcentral.